Long non-coding RNA from Triticum aestivum (bread wheat), 636 nucleotides. RefSeq lists it as uncharacterized. The record is from RefSeq and is a predicted model, not a curated record. The transcript has 3 exons. NCBI's taxonomy places the organism in Eukaryota, Viridiplantae, Streptophyta, Magnoliopsida, Poales, Poaceae.
GGGAGAUGCUCGUACUGAUGGGGAUGAGCUUGGGUUGGGGGUAGACAUGGAGCAGCACCAAGGAGGCGGCGCCGGAGUCUCUGGGGAACUUGUGCAGCGCCCACAGCACCAUGGCCUUGGAGUCGGCCCCGGCCCCCACCGCCACGUACACCUUCUUCAUCUUCUCGCCAGACUCGGAGGAGGACUGCUCCGGCUCCGGCGAGUCGCAGGCCGCGUCCAUGGCGGAUAGAUAGAGUAAGGAAUUGCCCAACAGUGCCACUGCAAUUUCCAUGGCAUGGCAUGGCAUCGACAUGGCAGGAGCUACCUGCUCAACAGUGCUUGCCUUUCUCAUGGACGACUGAAUGACUUAUACAAGACCUCUCUGCUCCGUAUAGCUGCUAAUUAAACUCCUCUCUGCUUCCCUCCUCUAUGAAAAACGUUGGUGGCUUGCAUUUAUCGUCUGGACAGUUCAUCAUAGCUUGCAGGAUACCCCAGGCUUCAUUUGCAAGAUUAGGCCGUUCCUUCCGUUCAUACCGGCAACAUCUGAGUGCUAAUCUUGCCAACUCUUCAGUGUAUUCAGUUGGCCAUUCCCCUGCAGAAGUAUCAAUUAUAUCUUGCAACAUGUCAUUGCUCAAGGCUGCCUCCACCUCAUUCGGA